RNAcentral lists this ribosomal RNA (368 nucleotides) under Beauveria brongniartii. Its description in RNAcentral is "eukaryotic LSU rRNA". It matches the Rfam family "Eukaryotic large subunit ribosomal RNA", at positions 1 to 371 of the family's 3401-position model. The record is from RNAcentral. Lineage: Eukaryota; Fungi; Ascomycota; Sordariomycetes; Hypocreales; Cordycipitaceae.
UUGACCUCGAAUCAGGUAGGACUACCCGCUGAACUUAAGCAUAUCAAUAAGCGGAGGAAAAGAAACCAACAGGGAUUGCCCCAGUAACGGCGAGUGAAGCGGCAACAGCUCAAAUUUGAAAUCUGGCCCUCGGGUCCGAGUUGUAAUUUAUAGAGGAUGCUUUUGGCGAGGUGCCUUCCGAGUUCCCUGGAACGGGACGCCACAGAGGGUGAGAGCCCCGUAUGGUCGGACACCGAGCCUCUGUAAAGCUCCUUCGACGAGUCGAGUAGUUUGGGAAUGCUGCUCAAAAUGGGAGGUAUAUGUCUUCUAAAGCUAAAUAUUGGCCAGAGACCGAUAGCGCACAAGUAGAGUGAUCGAAAGAUGAAAAG